UACGUAGGCAGCGAGCGUUGUUCGGAGUUACUGGGCGUAAAGCGCACGUAGGCGGAUUUGUAAGUCAGGGGUGAAAUCCCGGGGCUCAACCUCGGAACUGCCUUUGAUACUGCGAAUCUCGAGUCCGGAAGAGGUGAGUGGAAUUCCUAGUGUAGAGGUGAAAUUCGUAGAUAUUAGGAAGAACACCAGUGGCGAAGGCGGCUCACUGGUCCGGUACUGACGCUGAGGUGCGAAAGCGUGGGGAGCAAACAGG
RNAcentral lists this ribosomal RNA (253 nucleotides) under uncultured bacterium. RNAcentral's name for it is "partial 16S ribosomal RNA". It matches the Rfam family "Bacterial small subunit ribosomal RNA", at positions 524 to 776 of the family's 1533-position model. The record is from RNAcentral.